This 432-nucleotide ribosomal RNA is filed under the name uncultured bacterium. RNAcentral's name for it is "bacterial SSU rRNA". It matches the Rfam family "Bacterial small subunit ribosomal RNA", at positions 354 to 777 of the family's 1533-position model. The record is from RNAcentral.
GUAGGGAAUCUUCGGCAAUGGACGAAAGUCUGACCGAGCAACGCCGCGUGAGUGAAGAAGGUUUUCGGAUCGUAAAACUCUGUUGUUAGAGAAGAACAAGGAUGAGAGUAGAACGUUCAUCCCUUGACGGUAUCUAACCAGAAAGCCACGGCUAACUACGUGCCAGCAGCCGCGGUAAUACGUAGGUGGCAAGCGUUGUCCGGAUUUAUUGGGCGUAAAGCGAGCGCAGGCGGUUUCUUAAGUCUGAUGUGAAAGCCCCCGGCUCAACCGGGGAGGGUCAUUGGAAACUGGGAGACUUGAGUGCAGAAGAGGAGAGUGGAAUUCCAUGUGUAGCGGUGAAAUGCGUAGAUAUAUGGAGGAACACCAGUGGCGAAGGCGGCUCUCUGGUCUGUAACUGACGCUGAGGCUCGAAAGCGUGGGGAGCGAACAGGA